RNAcentral lists this ribosomal RNA (253 nucleotides) under uncultured bacterium. RNAcentral describes it as "partial 16S ribosomal RNA". It matches the Rfam family "Bacterial small subunit ribosomal RNA", at positions 524 to 776 of the family's 1533-position model. The record is from RNAcentral.
UACGUAGGGCGCGAGCGUUGUCCGGAUUUAUUGGGCGUAAAGAGCUCGUAGGCGGUUUGUCGCGUUGUUCGUGAAAUUCCCUGGCUUAACUGGGGGCGUGCGGGCGAUACGGGCAGACUGGAGUACUGCAGGGGAGACUGGAAUUCCUGGUGUAGCGGUGGAAUGCGCAGAUAUCAGGAGGAACACCGGUGGCGAAGGCGGGUCUCUGGGCAGUAACUGACGCUGAGGAGCGAAAGCGUGGGGAGCGAACAGG